This 253-nucleotide ribosomal RNA is filed under the name uncultured bacterium. Its description in RNAcentral is "partial 16S ribosomal RNA". It matches the Rfam family "Bacterial small subunit ribosomal RNA", at positions 524 to 776 of the family's 1533-position model. The record is from RNAcentral.
UACGUAGGGUGCGAGCGUUGUCCGGAAUUAUUGGGCGUAAAGGGCUCGUAGGCGGUUUGUCACGUCGGGAGUGAAAACUCGGGGCUCAACCCCGAGCCUGCUUCCGAUACGGGCAGACUAGAGGUAUGCAGGGGAGAAUGGAAUUCCUGGUGUAGCGGUGAAAUGCGCAGAUAUCAGGAGGAACACCGGUGGCGAAGGCGGUUCUCUGGGCCGAAACUGACGCUGAGGAGCGAAAGCGUGGGGAGCGAACAGG